GGCACCAGUGGCACCAGGCAAAUCCCUGGCUGGCUAUUGCUGUUGACUGUGUGUAAACUACGGGAGGUGAAGAUCUGGAACUCGACAAAGACUAAAGACGGUUUACCCUAGUGAUGCUAACGGAUGGAACCAGACUGGAUGAAAAUGGGGUCCUGAACAGAGCUACUACAGAGAAUGGCUAUGAGCUUGACUGCUUCAGCUUUGGCUGUUGACAAGCGGCUUGAUCCUGCUUUACCAGGGAGGCGUAGCCACGGGACCUGAAACGCUCAGGACGUCUGAUGCUCGUCACAUUGUCCUGGGCUUUGAGAUGGCGCUGACAGUACAUCUGCCUUCGGUGCUCUUGAUAGGCUGGCAGAUGCCAUGGGGGAGAAACCAGAACAGAAAGAGGUCUGAUUGGACCAGAGCGUCUCCAGUUGCGCUUCACUGCAUUGAGAUAGAUGACAUAGAAAAAAGACCCGGGACCUCAUUUUUAUAAAUGUUCUUGAAUUUAAACUUAGACAUGAUCUUAAGAUCACUUCCCAAGUUGUGCUUAUGCUUGAUCUGUAA
This is a long non-coding RNA of Anguilla anguilla (European eel), 546 nucleotides long. RefSeq lists it as uncharacterized. Lineage: Eukaryota; Metazoa; Chordata; Actinopteri; Anguilliformes; Anguillidae. The record is from RefSeq and is a predicted model, not a curated record. The transcript has 3 exons.